UACUCUCCUGACAUAAUCUAAUGUUUUGCUUUCGCUGUAAAGCCUUUUUGAAAUCGGACAAUGUGGUUAGAUUAACGAGGGUCUUGUCUUUAAAAUGGUGUAAAAUAGUCAUAUGUUUGAGAAAUUGAAGUUAUAGCAUUUUUGAGGUAUUUGUAUUUCGCGCCACGCGAUUCCACUGGCUGUUGACUAGGGUGGGACGUCCCACCUCGCCCAGGGAGGUUAACGGCUUCUACCCCCAAGCCAUAAGACUCCUGAACAGCUAAUCAAAUGGCUACUCGGACUAUUUUCAUUGACUCCAUAACAGUAUGCCAGUGGAAGAGAGGACAGUAUCAGGUGACCCAACAGGGGUUUGUGAAUACUAUCAUUUCACAUUGUAGCCAAUUGAAUUGCAGAAAUUCUGUGACCAAUUUUUCUGAAAUUCGGGUUGAAGUAAUAAAUAAUAAGGAAUUCCCCUCGAGCACGGCCAAAAUUUGGGGAAAAACAGACAUUAUUUCCCAUUGACCCCCUAGCGCCAACUUGAUUUUUUGUAAUGCAGAAACAAAACAUGGUGAAAAGCUGCUCUCUUGUUUAAUGUACAGUACACAUAACCUGGUCAAAAAUCCCAACCUAAUACUACCGCGCACGUAAAUUCAGCCUGUGAGAAAAGAACUGUGGCUUCAGGUUAUUCUGCGUGAGCGAGUGGGAAAUUGUGGGGAGCCAAGUAGGCUACACAAGUAGGCUACACAUAGCUAGCUAUGUAUGUGGAAAACAUUUCAUCAUCACAGUUAAGACAUUUAACUUGUUUAGUAUAGACCGUUUGUAACGACAUUCACUACUUGUAGCUGUAUACAGUAGUCCGUCUGUUUGCGUUGUUGGUCUUGGCCAUCUAAAUGUUCCGGUCGGUUGCUAGCUAGUGCUCACUCUGCUGCUAACACCAUCAUGAAAAGAGGCAUGAGGGAAGCCCUACAAUAUUUUGUUUUUCAAAGUAGUGAGAACGCUCUGGAGCAAUACUGAAAAAUAUUUUUUUUAAGACAUGUUUAGACAUAUUUCUUUUAAAAUGUACUUUUGUAAUUGACUUAAACAAGCAGACAAGAAAAUUGUUUUUGAAAACGUUUUUUUGUUGUUGCUGUGAGACAACGGGGUAACCUAGGUAACCACAGGUUGUUUUCCCCAAAGGCGGGUGGGGCGCGACGUUCUAUCUAAUAGUGAUGGGUCGUUCGCAAACGAGUCGGUUCUAAGAGCCGGCUCUUGUAGGUUAACGAUGGGAGCCGGCUCUUGUAGGUUAACGAUGGGAGCAGGCUCUUGUAGGUUAACGAUGGGAGCAGGCUCUUGUAGGUUAACGAUGGGAGCAGGCUCUUGUAGGUUAACGAUGGGAGCCGGCUCUUGUAGGUUAACGAUGGGAGCCGGCUCUUGUAGGUUAACGAUGGGAGCCGGCUCUUGUAGGUUAACGUUGGGAGCCGGCUCUUGUAGGUUAACGUUGGGAGCCGGCUCUUGUAGGUUAACGUUGGGAGACGGCUCUUGUAGGUUAACGUUGGGAGCCGGCUCUUGUAGGUUAACGUUGGGAGCCGGCUCUUGUAGGUUAACGAUGGGAGCCGGCUCUUGUAGGUUAACGAUGGGAGCCGGCAAACAAUACCAGAAGAGCCGAAUCUAUUUAUAAAAACAUUAAAAAAAUUAAGAUAUGAAUGAUCAAAAGAUUUAAAUGAAUAGAAUUAACAAAUUAAAAGAACGGAAAAAAAUAAAAUAAUAAUAUAGGCCUAAAUGCUCAAGCGCACACACAUUCAUUCUGACUGUCUGCUCAGACUAACAGCCUCACUGUUGUUCCUGUCAAUCAGACACGCAGUGUCAACCAAUGAACCAAAGGUGUGUGAGGGAGGGCCGAGCCAACUCACUCACAGUCACACAGCUGUGAAAACAGCUGUGAAAACAACAGCUGGAAAAUGAGUCAGAAGCACAGUAGCAUUUGGAUGCAUUUUAAUAAUGUAGACAAUGUUAGAGCACAGUAUAGAAUUUGCCAAAACAAAAUGUCAUAUAAAGCUGGUUCUACACACAACCUACACCGGCAUAUGGGAACUGUGCACCCAACUGUGAAGCUAGCUGUAGCGGAGCUUCGAGAAACUAGCGGGCCUGUUAGUGAUAGUGGUGGAGUCAGCACCUCCACACGUGGAGAUGUAUCCACUCAGUCAAGUAGCGCUACUAGUGAUAGUGGUGGAGAUGUAUCCACUCAGUCAAGUAGACCUGCUAGUGAUAGUGGUGGAGAUGUAUCCACUCAGUCAAGUAGGCCUGCUAGUGAUAGUGGUGGAGAUGUAUCCACUCAGUCAAGUAGGCCUGCUAGUGAUAGUGGUGGAGAUGUAUCCACUCAAACAAGUAGGCCUGCUAGUGAUAGUGGUGGAGAUGUAUACACUCAGUCAAGUAGGCCUACUAGUGAUAGUGGUGGAGAUAUAUCCACUCAGUCAAGUAGGCCUGCUAGUGAUAGUGGUGGAGAUGUAUCCACUCAGUCAAGUAGACCUGCUAGUGAUAGUGGUGGAGAUGUAUCCACUCAGUCAAGUAGGCCUGCUAGUGAUAGUGGUGGAGAUGUAUCCACUCAGUCAAGUAGGCCUGCUAGUG
This 2583-nucleotide long non-coding RNA is filed under the name Salmo salar (Atlantic salmon). RNAcentral's name for it is "lncRNA (ENSSSAG00000117942.1)". Lineage: Eukaryota; Metazoa; Chordata; Actinopteri; Salmoniformes; Salmonidae. The record is from RNAcentral.